RNAcentral lists this ribosomal RNA (468 nucleotides) under uncultured bacterium. RNAcentral's name for it is "partial 16S ribosomal RNA". It matches the Rfam family "Bacterial small subunit ribosomal RNA", at positions 28 to 507 of the family's 1533-position model. The record is from RNAcentral.
GACGAACGCUGGCGGCGUGCUUAACACAUGCAAGUCGAACGGAAAGGCCCUGCUUUUGUGGUGUGCUCGAGUGGCGAACGGGUGAGUAACACGUGAGUAACCUGCCCUUGACUUUGGGAUAACUUCAGGAAACUGGGGCUAAUACCGGAUAGGAGCUCCUGCUGCAUGGUGGGGGUUGGAAAGUUUCGGCUGUUGGGGAUGGACUCGCGGCUUAUCAGCUUGUUGGUGGGGUAGUGGCUUACCAAGGCUUUGACGGGUAGCCGGCCUGAGAGGGUGACCGGCCACAUGGGGACUGAGAUACGGACCAGACUCCUACGGGAGGCAGCAGUGGGGAAUAUUGCACAAUGGGCGGAAGCCUGAUGCAGAAACGCCGCGUGCGGGAUGACGGCCUUCGGGUUGUAAACCGCUUUAGCCUGUGACGAAGCGUGAGUGACGGUAAUGGGUAAAGAAGCACCGGCUAACUACGUG